This 605-nucleotide ribosomal RNA is filed under the name Maladera sp. DA4154. RNAcentral describes it as "partial 28S ribosomal RNA". It matches the Rfam family "Eukaryotic large subunit ribosomal RNA", at positions 663 to 1224 of the family's 3401-position model. The record is from RNAcentral. Lineage: Eukaryota; Metazoa; Arthropoda; Insecta; Coleoptera; Scarabaeidae.
GGACCAAGGAGUCUAGCAUGUGCGCGAGUCAUUGGGAUUUUUACUAAACCUAAAGGCGCAAUGAAAGUGAAGGUCCGCCUUGCGCGGACCGAGGGAGGAUGGACCGUACCGAGGUACGGUCUCGCACUCSCGGGGCKUSUCGUUCUCAUCGMGAGAAGAGGCGCACCCAGAGCGUACMCGCUGGGACCCGAAAGAUGGUGAACUAUGCCUGGUCAGGACGARGUSWKGGGAAACCCUGAUGGAGGUCCKUAGCGAUUCUGACGUGCAAAUCGAUCGUCGGAACUGGGUAUAKGGGCGARAGACUAAUCGAACCAUCUAGUAGCUGGWUCCCUCCGAWGUUUCCCUCAGGAUAGCUGGCGCUCGCGUGCUMGCGAGUCUCAUUCGGUAAAGCGAAUGAUUAGAGGCAUUGGGGUCGAAACGGCCUCAACCUAUUCUCAAACUUUAAAUGGGUGAGAUCUCCGGCUUGCUUGAACUGUGAAGCCGCGAGAUAUCGGAUCAGAGUGCCAAGUGGGCCACUUUUGGUAAGCAGAACUGGCGCUGUGGGAUGAACCAAACGCAGAGUUAAAGCGCCUAAAUCGACGCUUAUGGGAUACCAUGAAAGGCGU